UGUGCUGUAUGUAUGUGGCCAUGUGCUGUAGCAUUUAUUUAUGCUAUACAUUACCAUAUUGUGGGUGGUUGGUAUAUUUAAUUUGAUAGGAGAAAAAUACAGUAGUAGAAGUAGCCCUCUCUUGAAUUUUUUUUUUUUUUUUUUAUUGUCAACAUGAAACAAGGGAUGGAAUGUGUUCCUCAUUCUACCUAUUAUGAUUGUGUGAGUAUCUGAGUUCUUUUUCGCCAAUCAACUCCCAUAUUGAUCCAGGUCGCCUAGUUUGACUUAGAUAAAAUUGAGGAUGUCAGCUUACCAAAUUGAUAAGAUAUUUGGUAGGUGUACCAAAUGAAUUGAAAUCAGAUCUCACCUUCCCUGAGGUACCUUUGCUAUUAAGUCCAUUGUUGUUUAUCAGAAGCAAAAAGCCAAAAACAUAGAUAAAAUUGUUUUCCAAGGACUGGUAUAAUUGU
Molecule: long non-coding RNA, 446 nt
Filed under: Elaeis guineensis (African oil palm)
Lineage: Eukaryota; Viridiplantae; Streptophyta; Magnoliopsida; Arecales; Arecaceae
Description: long non-coding RNA (EGUI_LNC022403)
Source: RNAcentral